GGUGUGCUUCCAAGCCGUGGCACCUUCAGUUUCAAAAGAGAAGGUGAUGGCAAAAAGAUCAUCAUGUGCUCUAACGAUGCAGUUAUAACCAGUCUGGCCCACCAGAAGUUCUGUGGAACUUCCAGUGAACUACCUACUCCCCUUCACUCACUGACACAGAACACAGACUGGAUUGAUUCUCACAGUGAAGGAAAAAUCUCAGUGUCUACCUACUGCUGGAUUUCUAUUCUAGCAGCUGAAAGGAAGAAAUUAGUAGCCCCUUGAUUUUUCAACAGAAGUCAGUGGAAAAAAAAUAAAGAAGAAAGGAAGUUCUUCAGCUUUCCAGACAAAGAAUACUUGAAUGUUGGACCAGGAUACUUCAUUCCCUUUGUAGGUUAUAAGAAUCAGAUAUAAACUACUUAUUAUACUGCAGUGAUUUUCCUAGGAGACAUUUACAGGAAGGAAUAAAGCAAAACUCUUAAACAAAACAAUGUAUUUAUAGCAAUUUAUCCACAUUUAAUUGUUGCCCCACUAUUUGAUAUAAUGUUCAAGGAGGUUCACUAUGGCUUUGUGGAACAUUUGUUAAACACGAGCUGCUGCUG
Coturnix japonica (Japanese quail) is the source of this 581-nucleotide non-coding RNA. The record is from RefSeq and is a predicted model, not a curated record. Lineage: Eukaryota; Metazoa; Chordata; Aves; Galliformes; Phasianidae.